AACGAACGCUGGCGGCAGGCCUAACACAUGCAAGUCGAGCGCGCCCUUCGGGGUUAGCGGCGGACGGGCGAGUAACGCGUGGGAACGUGCACUUUUCUACGGUACACCCUCGGGAAACAGAGAGUAAUACCGCAUACGCUCUUUGGGGGUAAGAUUUAUCGGUAAAGGAUCGGCCCGCGUUGGAUUAGGUAGUUGGUGGGGUAAUGGCCUACCAAGCCGACGAUCCAUAGCUGGUUUGAGAGGAUGAUCAGCCACACUGGGACUGAGACACGGCCCAGACUCCUACGGGAGGCAGCAGUGGGGAAUCUUAGACAAUGGGGGCAAGCCUGAUCGAGCCAUGCCGCGUGAGUGAUGAAGGCCUUAGGGUUGUAAAGCUCUUUCAGCUGGGAAGAUAAUGACGGUACCAGCAGAAGAAGCCCCGGCUAACUCCGUG
Molecule: ribosomal RNA, 433 nt
Filed under: uncultured bacterium
Lineage: Bacteria
Description: partial 16S ribosomal RNA
Rfam family: Bacterial small subunit ribosomal RNA
Source: RNAcentral